CUAUGCCCAUACAUAUUAUUUCAUUCGGCCUUUAUUGUUGUUCCACUAUUGUUUACACCAUGGAGAAAUUUUUAAAACUCACCACAUUUAUGAUAAUUUUUAUUAUUUUUUAUAUAAUAAGAAAUGCAAAUUCCAAUAUUCAAUUCAAAGAUUUUGGUGAUUGUGAUGCAAAAGAACGCCCUGCACAUUUUUAUGGUACAGUGCAAGACAAUCUUUUCACCGAAAUUGUGAUAAACAGUACAGUUACGGAUUAUCCUGCAAAACCAAUUACCUACAUAUUUGCUGCUUCCACGGAUGGAAAAAACUACGUUUCUUUUUACACCGGAAAAGAAUCAAAUGGUUGUACUCCUAUAAAACGAUUCAUUAAUGAAAUAUAUACCGGAAUAGCACAGAGAUUAAAAAUAUAUCCAGUUGCUUGUCCUUUUAGAAAAGGAUUUUAUAAAGGAUCCAAUUUUUCACUGGCAGAAAAUAUGUUUAAAAGCAUUCCAAUGCUGCCAAAAGGAUAUAUAAAAAUAACCGUGAUAGUUUACAGUGGUAAUGAUCGACGAACUGAAUUAUCAUGUACAAACUUUCAACUUGAAAAGCAAUAAUAAUCAAAAUGAUAGCAAAGA
This is a long non-coding RNA of Dalotia coriaria, 611 nucleotides long. RefSeq lists it as uncharacterized. The transcript is spliced from 4 exons. NCBI's taxonomy places the organism in Eukaryota, Metazoa, Arthropoda, Insecta, Coleoptera, Staphylinidae. The record is from RefSeq and is a predicted model, not a curated record.